This is a long non-coding RNA of Clupea harengus (Atlantic herring), 296 nucleotides long. RefSeq lists it as uncharacterized. The record is from RefSeq and is a predicted model, not a curated record. NCBI's taxonomy places the organism in Eukaryota, Metazoa, Chordata, Actinopteri, Clupeiformes, Clupeidae. The transcript has 3 exons.
ACACACACACACACACACACAGACGGCUGAAGGAGCGGAACGGCCAGCUCCACCAUACUGUCAAUAGCCAUUGAUAUUGUCCAAGUCUUGAGUAACAAGAAACUUGGGAACACAGCCAGCCUACUUAGAACGUCUGAAUAAAGCCCAGACGUGUUUCAACUGACUGGAUUCAAGGAUGGCUGAACAUAAGGCAGAGGUAGGCUAUCAAAUUAAUUGUGAACACAUUGUCAUAUUUAAAACGUGGUUUUACUAAUGAUUUACUGGCUGAAUUGCAUGGUGUUUAAGCAAGAAGAAAC